Ictalurus punctatus (channel catfish) is the source of this 393-nucleotide long non-coding RNA. Lineage: Eukaryota; Metazoa; Chordata; Actinopteri; Siluriformes; Ictaluridae. The record is from Ensembl.
CCCUGCGUUCUUAACACAAAAGGCAGAGAACGAGUGAGAGAGAGAGAGAGAGAGAGAUAAGGAGAGAGAGAAGGAGAGAGAUAGUGAAAGAGAGAGAAGAAGAGAGAGAGGAGAGCGAGAGAGAUAAGGACAGAGAGAAUGAGAGUGAGAGAGAGAGAUAGAGAAAGAGAGGAGAGCAAGAGAGAGAUAGAGAAAGAGAGAGAGGAGAGCGAGAGAGAGAUAGAGAAAGAGAGGAGAGCAAGAGAGAUAGAGAAAGAGAGGAGAGUGAGAGAGAAGGAGAGAGAGAUAGAGAAAGAGAGAGAGGAGAGCGAGAGAGAGAUAGAGAAAGAGAGGAGAGAGAGAGAGAUAGAGAAAGAGAGAGAGGAGAGCGAGAGAGAGAUAGAGGAAAGAGAG